This 433-nucleotide ribosomal RNA is filed under the name uncultured bacterium. Its description in RNAcentral is "partial 16S ribosomal RNA". It matches the Rfam family "Bacterial small subunit ribosomal RNA", at positions 29 to 507 of the family's 1533-position model. The record is from RNAcentral.
AGCGAACGCUGGCGGCAGGCCUAACACAUGCGAGUCGAACGGAUCCUUCGGGAUUAGUGGCGGACGGGUGAGUAACACGUGGGAACGUGCCCUUUGGUUCGGAACAACUCAGGGAAACUUGAGCUAAUACCGGAUGUGCCCUUCGGGGGAAAGAUUUAUCGCCAUUGGAGCGGCCCGCGUCUGAUUAGCUAGUUGGUGAGGUAACGGCCCACCAAGGCGACGAUCAGUAGCUGGUCUGAGAGGAUGAUCAGCCACACUGGGACUGAGACACGGCCCAGACUCCUACGGGAGGCAGCAGUGGGGAAUCUUGCGCAAUGGGCGAAAGCCUGACGCAGCCAUGCCGCGUGAAUGAUGAAGGUCUUAGGAUUGUAAAAUUCUUUCAGCGGGGACGAUAAUGACGGUACCCGCAGAAGAAGCGCCGGCUAACUUCGUG